Molecule: long non-coding RNA, 508 nt
Organism: Mus musculus (house mouse)
Lineage: Eukaryota; Metazoa; Chordata; Mammalia; Rodentia; Muridae
Product: predicted gene, 40457
Exons: 3
Source: RefSeq, a predicted model, not a curated record
GCUGGGUGUGUUGGCACACACUUUUAAUUCCAGCAUUCUGAAGGCAGCGGCAGGUGGAUUUCCUGGCUUACAAGAACCUCAAAUUCAAUCAGUGUCCUGCUGUUCAAAGGUAUUUUGAAAUGUGCCAAAUCUUAAUUGAUGUGGAAGUGCCUGGAACCAGAGUUAAUACCUGGAGCGACGGGGAGCCCAAAUUAUGGAGGAACCCAGGAACCUGUGGCCGCUGGUGGCUACAGGUGGUGCCCGACGAGUGGCCUGAAAGCGGAAAGAAGGACUCGGGGUACACUGUUUUGGUGAGGCUCCACAGAAAACAGAAGAUGUAUUCUGCAUGGUAAGCAACAUACAGCAUUAAUGUUAGCGCUACAAAUUUCAUCUUUUGAAGACUGUUGAUCCCAAGGAUGCAACAAAAGGAUACAGGCUAGACUGAGUCAGUGUCGGUCCAAGGCUGAUAUCAGCUAGGGGUUGAUAGUGGAAAUGGGACUGGAAAAUUCUAAACAGGCAUUUGUCUGCA